RNAcentral lists this small RNA (948 nucleotides) under Pongo abelii (Sumatran orangutan). RNAcentral describes it as "retained intron". The stretch from base 629 to 761 matches the Rfam family "Small nucleolar RNA SNORA68". Lineage: Eukaryota; Metazoa; Chordata; Mammalia; Primates; Hominidae. The record is from RNAcentral.
CCAAAUGCCACACACCGCCCCUCUACCGCAUGCGAAUCUUUGCACCUAAUCAUGUCGUCGCCAAGUCCCGCUUCUGGUACUUCGUAUCUCAGUUAAAGAAAAUGAAGAAGUCUUCAGGGGAGAUUGUCUACUGUGGUCAGGUGUUUGAGAAGUCCCCCCUGCGGGUGAAGAAUUUCGGGAUCUGGCUGCGCUAUGACUCCCGGAGUGGCACCCACAACAUGUACCGGGAAUACCGGGACCUGACCACCGCAGGCGCUGUCACCCAGUGCUGUAAGCCGCCUGUCCCGCCUCCAUAGACACUCCUUGACUCCCUCACACUGAGGCAGGGCAAAUGCCAGAAGUUCCCAGCGCAGGAGAGUCUCAGAGCUGGUGGCGGGGCACAGGAAGACGAGAGGAUGCCCCAGGCCCCAGAUGGCUCUUUUCUGAGAGCCCUGUCAGGCUCGGUUGUAAAUCACAUCGCAUCUGGAAACUCCCUUUUUGGGUCUGCACCUUGUUUAGACUGGGAUCCACAUCACCACUGUUUUCUGGGACCCACUUAGAACUGAAUUGAACCCCUGCCCGGUGUUGGGAGCUGGCACCUUUUCCCUGGCUCAUCUGCCAGGGUCUGUGAGACCCCCACACCUCCCUGAUUGCACCUAAACCCAAGAAUCACUGUUUCUUAUAGCGGUGGUUUAAACAGAGGUGCAAACAGCAAGUGGAUCUUGUCGCCUUUGAGGAGCUGUGUCUGUGCCCCUCAAAGUGAAUUUGGAGGUUCCACAACUCUAGUGGCCAGUGCCUGCUGGGACCCAGGCCUUGGGCUAUCUCGCUUCUCCCCCACCACCUUCCCGUGAGCCCCGAGCCCUCAGGCAGUUGCUGUGACCAACAGGAUGUGUCAGGUCAUUGGGCAGGCACUCAGGAAGUUUGCUGAAUGCCCAGAGCCCAGGCAACACCAUCACCCUGGCCCCGCUC